ACAACAUAAUUUUUAAUAUGAAUAAUGAGAGUUUUCACACUAUAAAUUGGUCAUACAAUUUUUUAUUGCUACAUGCGAAGAAAAAAUAUGGCUGAAAUUCUCAAAAUUUGUUCUAUUAUGAUUAUUAUUUUUUUAAUAUUUAUCAUUGAAACCGAUGGCGAUAUCACAGAAAAACCACCCUGCAGAAGAACUAAAGAUUGUCCUCGUGACUUGUGUCUUCCUCCUUUUACUGUAAAGUGUAUCAAGUUUUAUUGUCGUUGUAGUUUCAUUUAGCAAUUAAGUUUAAAAAUAAUUACAUGGUACUUCUAAGAAUAUAAUUGUAUUUGCAAUUAUAUUAUUGGUACUUUUAUGUUUUCUAUUGCAAAUUAAUCUUCCGUCUAUCAUAAAUGCCAGUUGAAAAAUGUUCAAUAA
Trifolium pratense (red clover) is the source of this 411-nucleotide long non-coding RNA. RefSeq lists it as uncharacterized. The record is from RefSeq and is a predicted model, not a curated record. NCBI's taxonomy places the organism in Eukaryota, Viridiplantae, Streptophyta, Magnoliopsida, Fabales, Fabaceae. The transcript has 2 exons.